CUCGUAGGCGGUUCGUCGCGUCCGGUGUGAAAGUCCAUCGCUUAACGGUGGAUCCGCGCCGGGUACGGGUGGGCUUGAGUGCGGUAGGGGAGACUGGAAUUCCCGGUGUAACGGUGGAAUGUGUAGAUAUCGGGAAGAACACCAAUGGCGAAGGCAGGUCUCUGGGCCGUCACUGACGCUGAGGAGCGAAAGCGUGGGGAGCGAACA
This 207-nucleotide ribosomal RNA is filed under the name uncultured bacterium. Its description in RNAcentral is "partial 16S ribosomal RNA". It matches the Rfam family "Bacterial small subunit ribosomal RNA", at positions 568 to 774 of the family's 1533-position model. The record is from RNAcentral.